Biomphalaria pfeifferi is the source of this 406-nucleotide non-coding RNA. NCBI's taxonomy places the organism in Eukaryota, Metazoa, Mollusca, Gastropoda, Planorbidae. The record is from the annotation of a GenBank genome assembly.
ACAUACAGGCUCCUUUCAGUUUCUUGUGUUGUCUGCUCCUUCACAUGGAAGUCAUUCUGGGAUCAUGCACUUAACAUGUUCAACUUUCUGUGGCUCUUGUUGAAUUGAAGGGAAUGAACUCUAUCUGGAGAAAUAUUCAAUGAAUAUGCUCUCUUAAAAUUAUGGAGAUAGUUGGAAUUCUAAGGAUCUGAAGCCUAGAAUCAUUCUAUAGAUGACAUUGAGAUUGAUAAUGAAACUGAGAUUGAACUCGAGAACGAAAUUGAAAUUGAGAAUGUAAUUGAGAAAAGAAGUUGAAAUUGGGAAUGAAAUUGAUAAUGAAACUGAGAAUGAAAAUUGAAGCUGAGAAUGACAUUGAGAUUGAGUCUGAAAAGUGCAGAAAAGCAGUAUUGUUGAGGGGGGGGGGGGA